This 1345-nucleotide unclassified non-coding RNA is filed under the name Hevea brasiliensis (rubber tree). Lineage: Eukaryota; Viridiplantae; Streptophyta; Magnoliopsida; Malpighiales; Euphorbiaceae. The record is from RNAcentral.
GGAACCAAUAGCUUAAGGCAAACUGAAAUUCAUGUACAUGCUGUACAUACAGACUGAUGAAAAUUCUGGAACGAAUCUUUUGGGCAAUAUCCAGAAGUAAUAAAUGCUGAUAAAGAAAAACGCCAUGGACCUACGAAAUGAUCAGCUAUCUCUCCCAAACAAAGUAUAAUGUUAUCAAUAUUACUGAUGUUUCAACCAUCAUUGUAAAUACAAUUGAAAAUGGAUAUCCAACAGACAAACUGACUCAAAUUCAUUUCAGUGACAACCGACUCCAAUUCAUUUCAGUGACCGACACUUCUAAGCCUCUCUACGAACAAAGUAGAGUUUACCCACAACAUGAAGAAUCGCAACAAAAGCUAUGAACCCAAUGCUCAUUAUUAGUACAACAUUUGGAGAGAUUUUGAGUCCUGGAGCAUCAUCAGUGUAGAACUGAAGCAUAGUCCCAGCUGCUCCUCCUGAGGCCCCACCACUCGUUGUCCUCCUCCUGCGCAUGCUAGCAGCUGCUGCUGCGCUGCCUCUUGGGGGAGCUGUUCCACCUAAAGCCAUUUCUGUAACAACCAAUAAUUGAAAUAGUUCAGAUUCAUGUUUAUGCACAUUUAUCUUCUGAAAGUACCUACAAUCAAUAACCAGAAUAAUGGUUGCCUUUUGGCAGCUCAUCCUCAACAAUUCAUCCACUCAAAACAAAAUAAGGCACAAAAUACAACCACCAAAUUUGUACCUCAACUAGACUUUGUCAAAGCACUAUUCCCUCUCGAUGAUGAAGCUUAUCCGCAAUCAUCCCACAAAUUUCAUGAGCUCAAGAAAAAUACGCUACUAUAUGAUUAAUUGACUCACUAAUUAAAAACUAUGUGAUUCACUGUGUGAAGAAUCAUGAGGUAUCAUGUCCAACAAUAAAAAGCACAAACUCAUCAACCUCGUCAAAUUUUCAUAUCCAAACAAAAACUGCUUGGUUUGUUUGCAAUUUUGCAAAUAGCUUUGUGAAACCCUUUUCGAGCUUCAUGAAUCAUGAUGAUGUUAUGUACUUUAAUUAGCCCACAUGAACCCAAAAUAACCCAUAUGCAAGAUACACGAACACUUGAGCCGAACAGCAAUACAAUGAGAUGUCUAGACUAGAAUCAACAGUCACAAAUUCCAAUCAACAUUUAUUUUAUUUACAAGUGAUGAAGCUUUAUUUUUUUCAAAAUCAAAAUCCACCAACCUCAAAAACAAAAAUGAUAACAUCAACCUGGAUCUACUUAACCAAUUUCUUAUAACUUUCCACAACUAUCAAAAUUGAUUGUAGAAAUUAUAACCAAAAAAUGGAGAAACUAUUGAUCACAGAAAAAAGAUCUUAUAUGUAUCCAAA